This 447-nucleotide ribosomal RNA is filed under the name uncultured bacterium. Its description in RNAcentral is "bacterial SSU rRNA". It matches the Rfam family "Bacterial small subunit ribosomal RNA", at positions 355 to 825 of the family's 1533-position model. The record is from RNAcentral.
UAACGAAUCUUCCGCAAUGGGCGCAAGCCUGACGGAGCAAUGCCGCGUGUGGGAUGAAGCGUCUCUGACGUGUAAACCACUGUCAGGGGUUAGAAACAAUGAUCAACCCCAAAGGAAGUGGCGACUAACUCUGUGCCAGCAGUCGCGGUAAUACAGAGGACACAAGCGUUAGUCGGAAUCACUGGGCUUAAAGGGUGCGUAGGCUGGUCCGCAAGCGUCUUGUGAAAGCCCUCGGCUCAACCGAGGAACAGCAGGGCGAACUGCGGAUCUUGAGGCAGGUAGGGGUCGCGAGAACAGUAGGUGGAGCGGUGAAAUGCGUAGAUAUCUACUGGAAUGCCGAUGGUGAAGACGCGCGACUGGGCCUGUCCUGACGCUGAGGCACGAAAGCGUGGGGAGCAAACAGGAUUAGAUACCCCCGUAGUCCCUGAGCGGGCUGGCAAGGCGCAU